RNAcentral lists this ribosomal RNA (497 nucleotides) under uncultured bacterium. Its description in RNAcentral is "partial 16S ribosomal RNA". It matches the Rfam family "Bacterial small subunit ribosomal RNA", at positions 28 to 507 of the family's 1533-position model. The record is from RNAcentral.
GAUGAACGCUGGCGGCGUGCCUAAUACAUGCAAGUCGAGCGAACGGACCAGAAGUUUGCUUCUCUGAUUUUAUCAGCCGACGGGUGAGUAACACGUGGUCAACCUACCUAUCAGACUGGGAUAACUUCGGCAAACCGGAGCUUAUACCGGAUAAUAUUUUGAACUGCAUGGUUCAAACGUGAAAGACGGUCUUGCUGUCACUAAUAGCUUGAUCAGCGCUGCAUUAGCUAGUUGGUAAGGUAACGGCUUACCAAGGCAACGAUGCAUAGCCGACCUAGGAGGGUGAUCGGCCACACGGGAACUGAGACACGGUCCAGACUCCUACGGGAGGCAGCAGUAGGGAAUCUUCCGCAAUGGGCGAAAGCCUGACGGAGCAACGCCGCGUGAGUGAUGAAGGUCUUCGGAUCGUAAAACUCUGUUAUUAGGGAAGAACAUAUGUGUAAGUAACUGUGCACAUCUUGACGGUACCUAAUCAGAAAGCCACGGCUAACUACGUG